This 447-nucleotide ribosomal RNA is filed under the name uncultured bacterium. RNAcentral's name for it is "SSU rRNA". It matches the Rfam family "Bacterial small subunit ribosomal RNA", at positions 26 to 518 of the family's 1533-position model. The record is from RNAcentral.
AGGAUGAACGCUGGCGGCAGGCCUAACACAUGCAAGUCGAGCGCCCGUAGCAAUACGGGAGCGGCAGACGGGAUAGUAACACGUGGGAACGCGCCCUUCGGUUCGGAAUAACUCAGGGAAACUUGAGCUAAUACCGGAUACGCCCUUACGGGGAAAGAUUUAUUGCCGAAGGAACGGCCCGCGUCCGAUUAGCUAGUUGGUGAGGUAAUGGCUCACCAAGGCUACGAUCGGUAGCUGGUCUGAGAGGAUGACCAGCAUCACUGGGACUGAGACACGGCCCAGACUCCUACGGGAGGCAGCAGUGGGGAAUAUUGGACAAUGGGCGCAAGCCUGAUCCAGCCAUGCCGCGUGGAUGAUGAAGGCCUUAGGGUUGUAAAGUCCUUUUAACGGGGAAGAUAAUGACGGUACCCGUAGAAUAAGCCCGGCUAACUUCGUGCCAGCAGCCGC